UAAAGAAGAAGUAAGAAGUAAAUGCCUACACUGACAUCAUACAGUACCGUUCGACCACCGUACGCAUAUAGUACGAGUAUUCCGCAAUACUGCAGACUGGCAGAACAUGGUUCCAGUGAAAAUUGAAAACCCUCCCGCCUUUACACAAGCGCUAAUUUACAUAGAGAUUUUACUUUUUACAGGCCAUAUGUACGUUGGGGCGGACAUCGGUCUUUGUUUCAAUGCUAAUGAGCCGCAGGCCUGUGUGUCUGUUGGGCCUUGCUUAGGCCACUAUUCCAGGCCGCAGUGAGAGUGGAUGGGUCGGGUUUUAGUGGCGACUUUAAUGGCUUGUGAACCAGUUUGAUGGCAGCCAGAAGGCAGCACCAGCAGCCAUUCGAAGAAUAAUUCUUGUUAACUGUGCCAUAAAUCAACUAUAAGCCAACACAUACAUAUAUACAUACAUAUGUACAUACAUUCAUUCGAGUACGACAUUUUAAAAAUUCCGUCCAUGUGUUGUACAGCGGGAAAU
RNAcentral lists this long non-coding RNA (508 nucleotides) under Drosophila guanche. The record is from RNAcentral. Lineage: Eukaryota; Metazoa; Arthropoda; Insecta; Diptera; Drosophilidae.